This 196-nucleotide ribosomal RNA is filed under the name uncultured prokaryote. RNAcentral describes it as "partial 16S ribosomal RNA". It matches the Rfam family "Bacterial small subunit ribosomal RNA", at positions 524 to 719 of the family's 1533-position model. The record is from RNAcentral.
GACAGAGGCCCCGAGCGUUAGGGGGAAUCACUGGGCUUAAAGCGCGUGUAGGCGGAGGGCUAAGUACCUUGUGAAAUCCCCGGGCUCAACCCGGGAACUGCUCGGUAUACUGGCCUUCUUGAGGCAUCUAGGGGCGAGCGGAACAAACGGUGGAGCGGUGAAAUGCGUAGAUAUCGUUUGGAACGCCAACGGAGAA